GGUUAAGCGACUAAGCGUACACGGUGGAUGCCCUGGCAGUCAGAGGCGAUGAAGGACGUGCUAAUCUGCGAAAAGCGCCGGCGAGGUGAUAUGAACCUUUGACCCGGCGAUGUCCGAAUGGGGAAACCCAGUGUGAUUCGUCACACUAUCGUUAACUGAAUACAUAGGUUAACGAGGCGAACCGGGGGAACUGAAACAUCUAAGUACCCCGAGGAAAAGAAAUCAACCGAGAUUCCCCCAGUAGCGGCGAGCGAACGGGGAGCAGCCCAGAGUCUGAAUCAGCUUGUGUGUUAGUGGAAGCGUCUGGAAAGUCGCACGGUACAGGGUGACAGUCCCGUACACGAAAACACACAGGUUGUGAACUCGAAGAGUAGGGCGGGACACGUGGUAUCCUGUCUGAAUAUGGGGGGACCAUCCUCCAAGGCUAAAUACUCCUGACUGACCGAUAGUGAACCAGUACCGUGAGGGAAAGGCGAAAAGAACCCCGGCGAGGGGAGUGAAAAAGAACCUGAAACCGUGUACGUACAAGCAGUGGGAGCACCCUUGUGGUGUGACUGCGUACCUUUUGUAUAAUGGGUCAGCGACUUAUAUUCUGUAGCAAGGUUAACCGUAUAGGGGAGCCGAAGGGAAACCGAGUCUUAACUGGGCGUUAAGUUGCAGGGUAUAGACCCGAAACCCGGUGAUCUAGCCAUGGGCAGGUUGAAGGUUGGGUAACACUAACUGGAGGACCGAACCGACUAAUGUUGAAAAAUUAGCGGAUGACUUGUGGCUGGGGGUGAAAGGCCAAUCAAACCGGGAGAUAGCUGGUUCUCCCCGAAAGCUAUUUAGGUAGCGCCUCGUGAACUCAUCUUCGGGGGUAGAGCACUGUUUCGGCUAGGGGGCCAUCCCGGCUUACCAACCCGAUGCAAACUACGAAUACCGAAGAAUGUUAUCACGGGAGACACACGGCGGGUGCUAACGUCCGUCGUGAAGAGGGAAACAACCCAGACCGCCAGCUAAGGUCCCAAAGUCAUGGUUAAGUGGGAAACGAUGUGGGAAGGCACAGACAGCCAGGAUGUUGGCUUAGAAGCAGCCAUCAUUUAAAGAAAGCGUAAUAGCUCACUGGUCGAGUCGGCCUGCGCGGAAGAUGUAACGGGGCUAAACCAUG
RNAcentral lists this ribosomal RNA (1147 nucleotides) under Enterobacter roggenkampii. RNAcentral's name for it is "partial 23S ribosomal RNA". It matches the Rfam family "Bacterial large subunit ribosomal RNA", at positions 1 to 1191 of the family's 2925-position model. The record is from RNAcentral. Lineage: Bacteria; Pseudomonadati; Pseudomonadota; Gammaproteobacteria; Enterobacterales; Enterobacteriaceae.